GACGAACGCUGGCUGCGUGCUUAACACAUGCAAGUCGAACGCUGAAACCCUGGUGCUUGCACCGGGGUGGAUGAGUGGCGAACGGGUGAGUAACACGUGAGUAACCUGCCCCGACUUCGGGAUAAGCCCGGGUAACUGGGUCUAAUACCGGAUAUGAGCGCCCCUCGCAUGAGGGAUGCUGGAAAGUCUUUUCGGUUGGGGGUGGGCUCGCGGCCUAUCAGUUUGUUGGUGAGGUAAUGGCUCACCAAGACGACGACGGGUAGCCGGCCUGAGAGGGCGAACGGCCACACUGGGAAUGAGACACGGCCCAGACUCCUACGGGAGGCAGCAGUGGGGAAUAUUGCACAAUGGGGGAAACCCUGAUGCAGCGACGCAGCGUGCGGGAUGACGGCCUUCGGGUUGUAAACCGCUUUCAGCAGGGAAGAAGCCCCUUGGGGUGACGGUACCUGCAGAAGAAGUACCGGCUAACUACGUGCCAGCCGCCGCUGUAA
RNAcentral lists this ribosomal RNA (491 nucleotides) under uncultured bacterium. RNAcentral's name for it is "partial 16S ribosomal RNA". It matches the Rfam family "Bacterial small subunit ribosomal RNA", at positions 28 to 523 of the family's 1533-position model. The record is from RNAcentral.